This 253-nucleotide ribosomal RNA is filed under the name uncultured bacterium. Its description in RNAcentral is "partial 16S ribosomal RNA". It matches the Rfam family "Bacterial small subunit ribosomal RNA", at positions 524 to 776 of the family's 1533-position model. The record is from RNAcentral.
UACGUAGGGGGCAAGCGUUGUCCGGAAUCAUUGGGCGUAAAGCGCGCGUAGGCGGCUCGAUAAGUCUGCUGUGAAAGUCCAGGGCUCAACCCUGGAAUGCCGGUGGAAACUGUCGAGCUAGAGUACGGAAGAGGUGAGUGGAAUCCCUGGUGUAGCGGUGAAAUGCGCAGAUAUCAGGAGGAACACCAAUGGCGAAGGCAGCUCACUGGGACGUUACUGACGCUGAGACGCGAAAGCGUGGGGAGCAAACAGG